Molecule: ribosomal RNA, 429 nt
Filed under: Chloroflexota bacterium
Lineage: Bacteria; Bacillati; Chloroflexota
Description: Chloroflexi bacterium partial 16S ribosomal RNA
Rfam family: Bacterial small subunit ribosomal RNA
Source: RNAcentral
UGGGGAAUAUUGCACAAUGGGCGCAAGCCUGAUGCAGCCAUGCCGCGUGUGUGAAGAAGGCCUUCGGGUUGUAAAGCACUUUCAGCGGGGAGGAAGGCGGUGAGGUUAAUAACCCCAUCGAUUGACGUUACCCGCAGAAGAAGCACCGGCUAACUCCGUGCCAGCAGCCGCGGUAAUACGGAGGGUGCAAGCGUUAAUCGGAAUUACUGGGCGUAAAGCGCACGCAGGCGGUCUGUCAAGUCGGAUGUGAAAUCCCCGGGCUCAACCUGGGAACUGCAUUCGAAACUGGCAGGCUAGAGUCUUGUAGAGGGGGGUAGAAUUCCAGGUGUAGCGGUGAAAUGCGUAGAGAUCUGGAGGAAUACCGGUGGCGAAGGCGGCCCCCUGGACAAAGACUGACGCUCAGGUGCGAAAGCGUGGGGAGCAAACAGG